GACGAACGCUGGCGGCGUGCUUAACACAUGCAAGUCGAACGGAAAGGCCCUGCUUGCAGGGUACUCGAGUGGCGAACGGGUGAGUAACACGUGGGUGAUCUGCCCUGCACUUCGGGAUAAGCCUGGGAAACUGGGUCUAAUACCGGAUAGGAGCCAUUUUUAGUGUGAUGGUUGGAAAGUUUUUUCGGUGUAGGAUGAGCUCGCGGCCUAUCAGCUUGUUGGUGGGGUAAUGGCCUACCAAGGCGGCGACGGGUAGCCGGCCUGAGAGGGUGGACGGCCACAUUGGGACUGAGAUACGGCCCAGACUCCUACGGGAGGCAGCAGGGGGGAAUAUUGCACAAUGGGCGCAAGCCUGAUGCAGCGACGCCGCGUGGGGGAUGACGGCCUUCGGGUUGGAAACUCCUUUCGCUAGGGACGAAGCUUUUUGUGACGGUACCUAGAGAAGAAGCACCGGCUAACUACGUG
RNAcentral lists this ribosomal RNA (465 nucleotides) under uncultured bacterium. Its description in RNAcentral is "partial 16S ribosomal RNA". It matches the Rfam family "Bacterial small subunit ribosomal RNA", at positions 28 to 507 of the family's 1533-position model. The record is from RNAcentral.